UAGGGAAUCUUCGGCAAUGGACGGAAGUCUGACCGAGCAACGCCGCGUGAGUGAAGAAGGUUUUCGGAUCGUAAAGCUCUGUUGUUAGAGAAGAACGUUGGUAGGAGUGGAAAAUCUACCAAGUGACGGUAACUAACCAGAAAGGGACGGCUAACUACGUGCCAGCAGCCGCGGUAAUACGUAGGUCCCGAGCGUUGUCCGGAUUUAUUGGGCGUAAAGCGAGCGCAGGCGGUUCUUUAAGUCUGAAGUUAAAGGCAGUGGCUUAACCAGUGUACGCUUUGGAAACUGGAGGACUUGAGUGCAGAAGGGGAGAGUGGAAUUCCAUGUGUAACGGUGAAAUGCGUAGAUAUAUGGAGGAACACCGGUGGCGAAAGCGGCUCUCUGGUCUGUAACUGACGCUGAGGCUCGAAAGCGUGGGGAGCAAACAGG
This 429-nucleotide ribosomal RNA is filed under the name Bacillota bacterium. RNAcentral describes it as "Firmicutes bacterium partial 16S ribosomal RNA". It matches the Rfam family "Bacterial small subunit ribosomal RNA", at positions 355 to 776 of the family's 1533-position model. Lineage: Bacteria; Bacillati; Bacillota. The record is from RNAcentral.